RNAcentral lists this ribosomal RNA (510 nucleotides) under uncultured bacterium. Its description in RNAcentral is "partial 16S ribosomal RNA". It matches the Rfam family "Bacterial small subunit ribosomal RNA", at positions 30 to 523 of the family's 1533-position model. The record is from RNAcentral.
AUUGAACGCUGGCGGCGUGCUUUACACAUGCAAGUCGGACGGCAGCAUGGGAUGGGUAACCAUUCUGAUGGCGAGUGGCGAACGGGUGAGUAAUACAUCGAGACAUGCCCUUUAGAGUGGGAUAACCGAUCGAAAGGUUGGCUAAUACCGCAUAAUCUCUGAGGAGGAAAGGUGGGGACUAGGAGACUGGCCUGCCGCUGAAGGAAUGGUCGAUGGCUGAUUAGCUAGUUGGUGGGGUAAAGGCUUACCAAGGCGAUGAUCGGUAGCUGUUCUGAGAGGAAGAUCAGCCACACUGGGACUGAGACACGGCCCAGACUCCUACGGGAGGCAGCAGUGGGGAAUAUUGGACAAUGGACGCAAGUCUGAUCCAGCCAUUCCGCGUGCAGGAUGAAGGCCCUCGGGUUGUAAACUGCUUUUGUACGGAACGAAAAGGUCUCUCCUAAUACGAGGGGCUCAUGACGGUACCGUAAGAAUAAGCACCGGCUAACUACGUGCCAGCAGCCGCAGUAA